Molecule: long non-coding RNA, 517 nt
Organism: Gossypium arboreum
Lineage: Eukaryota; Viridiplantae; Streptophyta; Magnoliopsida; Malvales; Malvaceae
Exons: 2
Source: RefSeq, a predicted model, not a curated record
UAGCAAUACAAAUAAAAAACACUACAAAUUUUCUCAUAUCUAAGAUUUGAGCAGUCCCAUUCUUCUGAAAAACUUUGUAUUGCUUCAUUACUAGGAUGGUGUACCAAGGACAGCAUAUAAAGGAGUAGUGGUUUUCCGAUACCCGCCACCUAGACGUGAAUUUCUUGUUGGUCCCGACUCUCUUCAGCAGCUAGGGAUCGAAGGUGCUUGAAGACUUAAAGUGAUCGGGAUAACAUAUUUCCAAAUUGACGGCAGAGGGGUUCCGGCGAAUGAAUUUAUUUUUGAAGCAUAAGAAGGGAUGAAAUUAGGGAGGAGAUAAAUUCUGGUUUAAAUAAAAAAGGAGACGGUCAGGUAGGCCGAGGCUUCUUAUCGUCCAACAUUUCUAGACUAGGGAAUUUGACAUGAAUACAUCUUUGAACUUAGGCAGGGAUGAUCGCAUAUGGUAGGACACAAAAAAGGCCUUCAAUUUUGUAGGUUUAAGGUUACUUUCUUUUUUAUAUGAUAGAUAGUUCUUCCA